Molecule: long non-coding RNA, 282 nt
Filed under: Carica papaya (papaya)
Lineage: Eukaryota; Viridiplantae; Streptophyta; Magnoliopsida; Brassicales; Caricaceae
Description: long non-coding RNA (CPAP_LNC015217)
Source: RNAcentral
UAGCAACCCAUAAGUGGAGAUUCAGAAUUCUGAGCUAACUCUCUAUUUUGCAUAUUUCUUGAGGGCUACUAGGGCGGGAUCGACUGACUGAGUUUCCCUUAUUCUCUGGAUUAACUCAGACUGAACGAUUAGAUGACCCAAACAUGUGACUCUCCUCAAGUUCUGAAGCCGAACCUGUUGUGUGGCCCCAACCUACCUGCAUUCUUAAACCAUCAAAUGGGCUAAUAUACCUGCACUUUUUCUGCUGAGUGCAUCGACUACCACGUUGCCCUUACCUGGAUG